RNAcentral lists this long non-coding RNA (1877 nucleotides) under Oryctolagus cuniculus (rabbit). Its description in RNAcentral is "lncRNA (ENSOCUG00000033355.1)". Lineage: Eukaryota; Metazoa; Chordata; Mammalia; Lagomorpha; Leporidae. The record is from RNAcentral.
UGGAGCAGCUACAGCGUGACAGGCACUGUGCUAGGUGUGUGGGAUACAUCAGGAGAAACAAACAGCCCACUCGGCAGCUUCCCUCACCCAGGACAGAGACAGACAGGAAGCAGAACUAACAAUUGCUUGUUAGUUACAACCUUACAGUAUGCACGGGAAGGUUGGGAAGGUCCUAGCGCUGGGGACAGAAACAAGGCGAGGGAGGAUAACAGGGAGGCCGAGGGGUCCAGCGUUGUGCAGGGAGUCGGGAGGGGCAUUGGUGGAGGCCCCCGGGAAGCAUCCCAGGCCAGAACAGCUGGCAGCAAGGUGUGCAGGCCGCCGGCCCUGGCGUUUUCCAGGAACGGCGGAGAGGCCCUGUGAUUGGAGCAGAGAAGCCAGGGCAGGGCUGGAGAGCCAGUAGACACUGUGGGGGGUUGCCUUCCCCGUUCGGGAAGCUGCUGGAGCCUGACGGAGGAGCCCCAUGAUCUGUUUGGGCCGUGCAAGGGUCGCUGCGCGCACCGUGUUAGGAACAGACAGUCACAGUCUCGGGACAGAGCGGUUCGGAAUGAGUAGAUGCAGGACAUAGGAGAGGGCGAGGAAGGAAAGGCAUUGCUAAGGAGGAGGGUGCUGGCCGCAGCUCGGGCGUCUGGCCCCCGCCGGCCUGGACUCCAGCGAGUCUGGUUCUCAGGAGGCGGAGGCGGAGGUGGGGGUGGGGCCUCCUGGCCGUCGUCGCGGUCAUCUCAGUGGCACAGGCAGUGCCAUCCCUGGACUCAGGAAAACCCAGGCGCUCCGGCUUUCCACAACCAGGGGCAGCCCGCUUGUCCCCCUCCCCGCAACCCUGUCCCCACGGCCCCGCUCUCCUGCCUCCGGCUCCACGCCUCAGGGGCCCGAGAUGUACAAGGCCUGCGCUCCUGCCUGGGAUCCAUCUCCCCCAAAUCAAGCCCAGGACAGAGACUGCACGAUUUGCACACAUCCCAGAAGCUUUCCCCUGGACACACCCUUGGGAAAAGGAUCCAGGAUUCUUCCCUGAAGCAGAAACAACUGGGAAAGGUUCUGAAACGAGCUUUCAGGAGCAGACAGGACGCACACCCACGGCAGUGGAGACGCUGGCUGGGCAGCCUCGGGAGACCGCCCUCACAACCCAUCUGGGGACGACGGGAAGCAAACGGAGGAGCUGCAAGGGGCACAACCAGGCAGUCUUCCCGUAGGGUGCGCUGCGCAGGUCACACAGCUGAGGAAGGCAGAAGCGGCCCAGAGCUCAACGCAGGGGCCUAAGUCAGAGUCUGUGAUUUGCUGUGGUUUAAAUGAGAUUCAGGUCCGCAACUCGAUGACACUUAAACCCCCAACUUUAUGUUAAUGGUGAGUGGAAUAAGGGCGGAGACUGGACCCCAUGGGAGGUCACUGGGGUGAGUGUCCCCAGAGGGGAGUACUUGCAAGAGGCUUGGAUACAAAAGCCUUCAACGCCAGCAUUCCAUAUGGGCAGUGACUCAAGUCCCGGCUGCUGGCUCCUCCGCUUCUGAUCCAGCUUCCUGCUAAUGCCCCUGGGAAGGCAGCAGAAACAUGGCCCAAGUGCUUGAGAACUCUGCCACCCACGUGGGAGACCAAACGGAGUACAGGCUCCUGACUUCAGCCUUGUCCAGCCCUUGGCUGUCGUGGCCAUUUGGGGAGUGAACCAGGAAAUGGAAGAGCAGAGGUUGGUCUAAGUGCUUAGACCUGUGUUACCCACAUGGGAGGUCCUGUUACCUUGUGGGAGCUCUGAGCUCCUGGCUUCAGCCUGGUCUAGCCCCUGCUGCUAGACUGGGGAGUGGGCCAGCAGAUGAAAGAUUUUUUUUCUCUCUGUACCUCUGUCACUUUGCCUUUCAAAUAAAUAAAAAAAAAAUCUUUUAAAAUAAAAAAUU